AUUGAACGCUGGCGGCAUGCUUUACACAUGCAAGUCGAACGGUAACAGGCCGCAAGGUGCUGACGAGUGGCGAACGGGUGAGUAAUGCAUCGGAACGUGCCCAGUCGUGGGGGAUAACUACUCGAAAGAGUAGCUAAUACCGCAUACGAUCUAUGGAUGAAAGCGGGGGACCGUAAGGCCUCGCGCGAUUGGAGCGGCCGAUGUCAGAUUAGGUAGUUGGUGGGGAAAGGCUCACCAAGGCAACGAACCGUAGCUGGUCUGAGAGGACGACCAGCCACACUGGGACUGAGACACGGCCCAGACUCCUACGGGAGGCAGCAGUGGGGAAUUUUGGACAAUGGGCGCAAGCCUGAUCCAGCAAUGCCGCGUGCAGGAAGAAGGCCUUCGGGUUGUAAACUGCUUUUGUACGGAACGAAACGGCUCUGGUUAAUACCCGGGGCUAAUGACGGUACCGUAAGAAUAAGCACCGGCUAACUACGUG
RNAcentral lists this ribosomal RNA (481 nucleotides) under uncultured bacterium. RNAcentral describes it as "partial 16S ribosomal RNA". It matches the Rfam family "Bacterial small subunit ribosomal RNA", at positions 30 to 507 of the family's 1533-position model. The record is from RNAcentral.